GGAAACGAACAACAGCGGCAGCCUUGGAGAGCUUGCUCUCCUCAGGCUGCCGCUGUUGUUGUACUAUCGUCUCCGUAUUUAGCGGGGUUCUGCGUUUCC
This 99-nucleotide small RNA is filed under the name Paenibacillus sp. P22. RNAcentral's name for it is "Clostridiales-1 RNA". Lineage: Bacteria; Bacillati; Bacillota; Bacilli; Caryophanales; Paenibacillaceae. The record is from RNAcentral.